RNAcentral lists this long non-coding RNA (765 nucleotides) under Monodelphis domestica (gray short-tailed opossum). RNAcentral's name for it is "lncRNA (ENSMODG00000039132.1)". Lineage: Eukaryota; Metazoa; Chordata; Mammalia; Didelphimorphia; Didelphidae. The record is from RNAcentral.
UGCUAUUAUUAUACCUAGUUUAUAGAUGAGGAAAUUGAGGCAAACAUGUUAAGUGACUUGCCCAAGAUCAUGCAGUUAAUAAGGGUUGCUGAGAGUGCAUUGAACUCAGUGCUUCCUGACUCCAGGCCAGCUCUCUAUCUAUUGUGCUACCUAACUGCCUCUCUGCAUGCACACACAUACACACACAUUUAUAUACAUAUAUACACACAUUUUUUACAUGGGCAAUAAUGUUUUGCUUGACUAUGUUUAUUUGCCACAAGGAUUGUAUUUUUCUCUUUUUUUAUUCGGCAAGAUUCUGGAGAGAAGGAAUAAUAGUAAUGUUUGUGGGUUAGUCAUUUUUCAGGAGUGUUCAAUUCUUUUUGACCCCAUUUUGGGUUUUCUUAUCAAAGAUAAUGUAGGGAUUUGCCAUUUCUCAUUUCUUUCUAAAGUUCAUUUUACAGAUGAAGAAACUGAGGCAAACAAAGUUAAAGGAUUUGCCCAGGGUCACCCAACUAGUAAAUGUCUGAGGUCCAGUUUGCUUUCAAGGAAGAAUGAAAGGGAAUAUUAUAAUGGUGAGAAGAGAGCUGCUUUUAGAAUCAGAAGAUCUGAGUUCCAGUCCCCACUCUGGUUCUUGCUACUUGGGUGAUCCUGAACAAGUCUUUUCUCUUCACUGGUCUCAUUUUCUUCUUUUGUAAAAUGAAGGUUAAAAAAAAAAGAUCUAAGCACUUAUGAUAAGUAAUAAUUAUUAUUUGUUAUUAAAUAAAAGCACUAAGCCAUUAUUCUACA